Peromyscus maniculatus bairdii (prairie deer mouse) is the source of this 1507-nucleotide long non-coding RNA. RefSeq lists it as uncharacterized. The record is from RefSeq and is a predicted model, not a curated record. Lineage: Eukaryota; Metazoa; Chordata; Mammalia; Rodentia; Cricetidae.
AGUGCUGGGGGAAAAGAAGGAAAAACGUCAAUUACCCUCUUGUCUCCGGUGUCCCUUCUGACUUCAAACGAACUCCAGCAAAGUGAUGGAGGGUGGGAAGGCUGGAGAGAAGCGAGCUCCGGAAUGGGGGGUGGGGAGGCCGAUGCUGGCCGCGGGCUGGGCUGGGGCUGGCCUGCUCUGAAUCCAGGAGGAACCCGCAGGCCAGGGCCUAGUCCCGCAGCGCUGCCGCUGAGGUCUUGGCUGAGGACUUCGAAGGACUGGCCUCUCAUUGCGCCACCGAUGAUGGAAUAUUUAGCGCUAGCCUUUAGAGGCUGAGGGCAAGGUCCAGUAAGGGGACGACGCUGUUGGCUCUACAUAGCCUGUCGCAAGGGAGAAAGAAGUCCUUUCUAAAGCUCCUUUUGUAGCUGCUCAGGGAGAAAUGGAGGCUGGGACUCGGGGUGAGAUCUUGCACAGCUCGAAGGUGGAGUUCAUGGCCUGGUAGAGCUGCAGUUGCUCCUGGGAGGAGCACCUGGAACAGGGGUUUGUUGAGAGGAAUGGUCUGUAGGAUGCUUCCAUCGGAACUCACGUACCCAAUAGCCCACUGCCCCAGGCGGGUGCAGCUGGGCCUGAAGAUGUAGCUGUGGGAAGAGAGGCGGGAUGCAGAGAGAGAGUGGCCGCUGCUGUCCCUGCGGGGAACACCCUGUGGUCUGCCCUGCCCGGGAUCCAGCUCGAAGUGGAUGGGGAGCUCUGGAAAGAAGCUGAUAUUCUACCCUGGCUUUCCAGAGCCCUGCAGAGACCGAUAAACCAGACAUUUCCUCAACCUGUGGGUGCUCAGCUCCUCAUCCUUAGCCCAUGGAGGAGAUCCAACUACUCCAAGCUCCUGCCUUGAAAGGACGUGAGGUCUCCGAUGUCAAGUUUCCCAGUCUCUAAACUGGGAGGGCUCACGUGCGAAAUAUUUAAGAGGUGGACAGGCUGAGCGUUCUGCCCACCUGUAAUCCCAGCAUUCAGGAAAUUGAGGCGAGAGGCUCCUAAGUUCAAAGUGAGCCUGGGCGAUAGAGAGACCCUGUCUUAAAGGAAAAGAAAGGAAAAGAAAAGAAAACAAACCCUAGAAAAAUGCUGAGUGUAGGGAUAACCUCUGUAACCCCAGCAUUUGCAAGGGAAAGGAAGGAUGAUCAGGAUUUCAAGGGUCAUCCUUGGCUACAUGGCAAGUUUGAGGCUAGCCUGGGCUAUAUGAAGCAAGCCCUCUUACCGUGGAACAAUCUUUUUGCACACUAUGAAUAUGUACUACUCUCAUUGGCUGAUAAAGAGCUGACUGACCUAUAGCUGGCCAGGAGAAGGUUAGGCAGGAAAACCACACUAAGAGGAUGCUGGGAAGAAGGAGGGCGGAGUCACAGGAGUCAGAGCAGUCGCCAGCCAGACGCAGAGGGAGUAAGAGAUGAACAUGCCAUGCUAAUAAAGGUACUGCCACAUGGCAAAGGGUAGAUAAGAAAUAUGGGUUAAUUUAAAAUGUAAGAGCUAGUUAGUAAUA